RNAcentral lists this ribosomal RNA (575 nucleotides) under Ureibacillus sp. RNAcentral's name for it is "bacterial SSU rRNA". It matches the Rfam family "Bacterial small subunit ribosomal RNA", at positions 69 to 626 of the family's 1533-position model. Lineage: Bacteria; Bacillati; Bacillota; Bacilli; Caryophanales; Caryophanaceae. The record is from RNAcentral.
ACCAAUUGAAAGCCUAGCUUUCAUGUCGUUAGCGGCGGACGGGUGAGUAACACGUGGGUAACCUGCCCUAUAGACUGGGAUAACUCGCGGAAACGCGUGCUAAUACCGGAUAACACAUCAAAGUGCAUGCUUUGAUGUUGAAAGAUGGUUCUGCUAUCACUAUAGGAUGGGCCCGCGGCGCAUUAGCUUGUUGGUGGGGUAACGGCCUACCAAGGCGACGAUGCGUAGCCGACCUGAGAGGGUGAUCGGCCACACUGGGACUGAGACACGGCCCAGACUCCUACGGGAGGCAGCAGUAGGGAAUCUUCCACAAUGGGCGAAAGCCUGAUGGAGCAACGCCGCGUGAGCGAAGAAGGUCUUCGGAUCGUAAAGCUCUGUUGUAAGGGAAGAACAAGUGCAGUAGUAACUGGCUGCACCUUGACGGUACCUUACUAGAAAGCCACGGCUAACUACGUGCCAGCAGCCGCGGUAAUACGUAGGUGGCAAGCGUUGUCCGGAAUUAUUGGGCGUAAAGCGCGCGCAGGCGGUUUCUUAAGUCUGAUGUGAAAGCCCCCGGCUUAACCGGGGAGGGUCAU